Cygnus olor (mute swan) is the source of this 715-nucleotide long non-coding RNA. RefSeq lists it as uncharacterized. The transcript is spliced from 2 exons. The record is from RefSeq and is a predicted model, not a curated record. NCBI's taxonomy places the organism in Eukaryota, Metazoa, Chordata, Aves, Anseriformes, Anatidae.
CUGCGGGGGCUGGGGGCACGGGGGGAGCUGGGGGUGCUGCCGCCACUGCCUCCCCGCAGGGCUCCCGGCCUCCCGCCCCGGGCACGGAGCCCCCGGCCCCUGCUGGGCGAUGGGGUUCGGGAGGCAGCCGGGGAUGUGCUGCUGGCCGGGCCCUUCGGCCCCCCCGGCCCCUCCCGGGCAGCUGUGCCUCCUCCCGAGGGCAACGUGAGGCUCGCCUGCACCCGGCCGUGCCCGGUGCUGAGUACACCACAACUUGGUGGCUUUGGAUCCUGGCCGGGCCACAGGGUGCGUGUUCCACACCUAGGGCACGGCAGGGACUGACCUGUGAGCCCUGGCAUACAUCCGCUGAGGGCUGUGAAGCCUUGUGCCUGCAGAGCUGCUCACUGCCCCUCUGCUCUACCUGUGUGUAUGGUCUGGACCCAACAAAGCCCAUCAGUGCCUGCUUGGCUGGAGGUGCGUGUGUCAUCCCAUUGAAACCAGAGGAGUGACAGCAGACUAUUAGCUGGGGUUCUGCAUUUCCUCGUCCAAAUGCUGUACAAGCCUUAAAUAAGAAGCCUGACAGUGUCCGAUUUCACUCCUUGGCAUGGUGCUUAAUGUAUGUGAGAAUUUACUUUCUGAAAACAUUUUGUGCCUUUUGGACUUGAAAUCUACUGUAAAGACACAUCGUCUUUUGCAUGAUGUAUUGUGCCCAAAAUAGCUCAGCGGUUACUACUUC